Mesocricetus auratus (golden hamster) is the source of this 1838-nucleotide long non-coding RNA. RefSeq lists it as uncharacterized. The record is from RefSeq and is a predicted model, not a curated record. Lineage: Eukaryota; Metazoa; Chordata; Mammalia; Rodentia; Cricetidae. The transcript has 2 exons.
AGAACUUCUGGUCUCUCGCGUUGCUGGAGAGUUGGAAUGGGACUUGCACGGGCUUUCACGCCGGCGGGAGCCCAGCCCUUGGCGGUAGACAGCUACCGGUUCCCUCCGGCACCGCGUCCUUUGGGACUCGGAGUAGGCGUGGCUGUCCGCUUGGGAGCACUUGAACGAGCACUGAGGUCCUUUCUUGGAACCAUCCCACCUGCUGAUGCAAACCUACUUAGAAGAUGAUGGCCUUGAGAAUUGUAACUAACAAAAAACAAAGCUCUGCAAUCUCAUUUACUCACACCAUGUAAGCUACCUGUGGAAACGAAGCCCGAAGUGGAAGCCAGCAACUGAGUGCGGUGACGCCGGCCAGUUUCUGCUGUGUGGUGAGAGCAGUAUAUAAAGAUAGAGCGCCUCCCUGGAACAGAAGCAGGGAGUUAGCCGGAGCACAGCUCUGCCCAAAGCACGUGAGAGGAUUCUUACUGUAAUGUCCAUAAGAAAAUAUACUGUGUUAAGUCAAACCAGGUAAGCCGGGUGUGGUGGUACACUUGGGAGGCAGAGGCAGGUGGAUCUGAGUAUGAGGCCAGUCUGGUUUAUAAUGAGUUCCAGGACAGCCAGGGCUACACAAAGAAACCAUAUCUUAAAGAACCAAAGAGAGAGAGAGAGAGAAAAAAAAAUCAAACCUGGUAAAGAAUGAAAACAUAUACUCAUAAUGGAUGAAUCUCUACCUCCAAAAAUCUCCACUUACAACAUGGCUUUAGAACAGUCUGAAUGUAUGAUUCUCAUUUUCCUCUCUGAAAAGUCUUAGACAUAAACUCCAAAUGAGAUUUUUUUUUUUUUUGGUUUUUUGAGACAGGGUUUCUCUGUAUUGUUUUGGAGGCUAUCCUGGAACUUGCUCUGUAGACCAGGAUGGUGUCGAACUCACAGAGAUCAGCCUGCCUCUGCCUCCCGAGUGCUGGGAUUAAAAGCGUGCACCACCAAUGCCAGGCUCCAAAUGAGAUUUAAGUUAUUUUUCCAAAAGAGGGAUUUAAGAUAAUAUAGGUGGAAUGCCAGAAACCUUUAGAGGUUUGCCCACCUAGCUCACAACAUGCUGUGUGUUGGGAACUCUAAUGGUGUUAGCCACCUAGAUGCCAUAAUCUGGCCAUGCCCAUACCCAAUAGGCACAUGAGAAACAUUCUGAUCCCAGGCAGUGAUAUUCUGUCUCUCAUGACUGUGAGAUUGAAAUGCAGUUACUUUCAGGUCAUGUUUAUGUGGUUGAAAAUGCAACCAUAUAAACCCUAGAGCUGUUAAAGUGAAUAUGGUCAACAGUUGGUGGAAAGGCAAAUAAAGAGAAUAAAGAAAUAACCAUGAAGAAAAGAAAGUCCUGAUGGCUUGCCAAGUACUACCUAUUUCCUGCAGUGUAGUUUUACUUUCAGUUCCCUUGACAUAAUGAUAGCACAGACUUACAAGUAACUUAUCACUUAAAUAUCUGUAAUGGGUUCCCUUAGGUGCAUGGAGUGUUAGUGUGGCAGUCAGAGGUUGAGGUCAGGUGUCUUGCAGUUGUUCUCCAUCUCCGUUCUGAGGCAUGGUCUCAGGUCUCUGACUGAAGCUGGGAUUACUCAAGGCCGAGAGGCCAGGUAGCACAGGGAUCUGUCUGUUGCCGCUUCCCAGCACCAGCGUAAGGAAGUUUGCCAUCACACUCAGUUUUUCACACAGGUUCUGGGGAUCCAAACUUGGCACCUCAUGGUUGUGUGAUAAGCGCUAUACUGCCUGAUGCAUGUCCCCAGUCCUAGGAAUUAGUUUCUGUAGGCUGUAAUCAGUAUCAAAUAACAUAACUAUGUACUCAUUAUACUUUAAAUAAAGCAUUAAUUUCUGGU